GUAGGGAAUAUUGGACAAUGGGCGAAAGCCUGAUCCAGCAAUGCCGCGUGAGUGAUGAAGGCCUUAGGGUUGUAAAGCUCUUUUACCAGGGAUGAUAAUGACAGUACCUGGAGAAUAAGCUCCGGCUAACUCCGUGCCAGCAGCCGCGGUAAUACGGAGGGAGCUAGCGUUGUUCGGAAUUACUGGGCGUAAAGCGCGCGUAGGCGGCGACUUAAGGCAGAGGUGAAAGCCCGGGGCUCAACCCCGGAAUAGCCUUUGAGACUGGAUUGCUAGAAUCCUGGAGAGGUGAGUGGAAUUCCGAGUGUAGAGGUGAAAUUCGUAGAUAUUCGGAAGAACACCAGUGGCGAAGGCGGCUCACUGGACAGGUAUUGACGCUGAGGUGCGAAAGCGUGGGGAGCAAACAGGAUUAGAUACCCGGGUAGUCC
Molecule: ribosomal RNA, 425 nt
Filed under: uncultured bacterium
Lineage: Bacteria
Description: partial 16S ribosomal RNA
Rfam family: Bacterial small subunit ribosomal RNA
Source: RNAcentral